UGACUUUAUCAAGGUCAAAAUUGAUCUUGAAGUUGCUGCAUGUCCUUAGCCUGCAAAUGUGGAUUUGACUCGGUCAAUUUUCAGAAGUUUCCAGAUUUGAUGCACGAAAAUCCCAGCUGGAAACACCACUUUCCCAGUUAUAUUAGGACUUUAUUUUAUUUUUCGUAAUUAGUCAGAUUUGAAUAUUUGUUAGGAGAUUUUUUUGGAAGGGAUAAAGGUGAAAGAAAGGGGGCUGAAAAGGGGGCUCUUUCUCUUUUCUCCUUGGAAGUUUGCAUCCAUGGCUCUGCAUGGCUAAAGCUUUUAUUGGUCUAAGGAAACAGAAGCCUCGGAAUCAAUAAAACUGUGAGAUCUGA
This 353-nucleotide long non-coding RNA is filed under the name Phoenix dactylifera (date palm). RNAcentral's name for it is "long non-coding RNA (PDAC_LNC018788)". The record is from RNAcentral. Lineage: Eukaryota; Viridiplantae; Streptophyta; Magnoliopsida; Arecales; Arecaceae.